Molecule: long non-coding RNA, 1147 nt
Organism: Beta vulgaris subsp. vulgaris (sugar beet)
Lineage: Eukaryota; Viridiplantae; Streptophyta; Magnoliopsida; Caryophyllales; Amaranthaceae
Exons: 2
Source: RefSeq, a predicted model, not a curated record
AUUUCUUUCCUCCAUCUCAAUUUCUCCUCGCAAACAACCCACCCAUGAAUUUCUAACCCAAAGAUUGAUUUUUCUUGCACACAAAAACUCAACUUCAAAUAAAAAUUCAUUACUCAAAUCAAAUCACCCAAUAACUCAAUUUCUCAUUCAAUUUCAUCAAUCCAAUUGAACAAAAAUUCGAGCUUAAUCAUGGAUAUAAAUAGCCAUAUUUAUUCCCUCAAACCACACACUCACAAUUCGCUACUUCACUAUAAUAAAUCACCGGAAAAUUGACCCCAUUUCUGCCGAAAACCGCCACCCAAAACACCACCCAAACACCUUUGUUUUUCACACAACCUCCCACUCUCUCUCACCCCUCUGUUUUCACCAUCGCAACACCACCUUUGGACGUUGCCACCGUCGCUCAUCACCAUUACCACCUGGUACCGCCGUCUGUCUCUGUGCGAACCAACAACCACCCACCACACCGCCAACCCGCACUUCUCUCUCUCGCUCAGUUUCUCCUUCUCACCCAGUUCUUUCUUCUCUCUCUCCUCUGUUUUCUCUACCCGCUGUCGCACCACCCAGACCACCUCUGUUUUGUCACCUCCCACACCAGUGCGCCUCCUGUGCCUUACCAACCGCACUGCCAAGCCACCCAUGCUCCCUGUCUUCCUCUCUCGCCCAAACUCUUUCGUUCUUUCUCGUGUCUCCCUCCUCUUUGUACCGUCGAGCCACACCUCAGCACCACAGCACCCCGCACCUCUCACCGUGUAGCCACUUUCUGCCUCGCCUCCAAUCGCCGGAGCUCCGACCCUCCUCACUGGAGUCUGUGUCGUGCUUCAAUCAGUGGGUAUGCAUACAAAGAUGGGAUGACGUAGCAGUGAGGAUUAAUUUACUUUAACUCAUGCGACUAUGACGGUUAUGUAAUCCAUGUUUAUGAUCACUAAAUUACGUAACAUCAGCUAUGCUCAAGCUAUCUAUAUAUAUUUCUAGAAUUACUAUAAAUGUUAUAGAGGUAUGGUUAUAUGAAGGAAUGUUUGCCUUGUACUUUCCGGGUGGAGAGUAUGGCAGUGACGCACCGACUAAGCUAUAAAGGUCUUCCGCUGCUAAUCUUUGUAAAUAACUAACCUAAUAAUAAUGCUUAGAGGUCGGGGUGUUACAAUUC